AGUCCAUGGUGGGGACACAGCCGCAAUAACUCCUUGAAUUGGUUCCAGGAUUCAUAUAAGAAUUCUCCUUCUCUUUGAGCAAAGCUUGUAAUAUGGUUUCUGAGUUA
Small nucleolar RNA from Dioscorea cayenensis subsp. rotundata (Guinea yam), 107 nucleotides. The record is from RefSeq and is a predicted model, not a curated record. Lineage: Eukaryota; Viridiplantae; Streptophyta; Magnoliopsida; Dioscoreales; Dioscoreaceae.